GAUGAACGCUGGCGGCGUGCUUAACACAUGCAAGUCGAACGGAAAGGCUCCUGCUUGCAGGGGUACUCGAGUGGCGAACGGGUGAGUAACACGUGGGUGAUCUGCCCUGCACUUCGGGAUAAGUCUGGGAAACUGGGUCUAAUACCGGAUAGGACGAUGGUUUGGAUGCCAUUGUGGAAAGUUUUUCGGUGUGGGAUGAGCUCGCGGCCUAUCAGCUUGUUGGUGGGGUAAUGGCCUACCAAGGCGUCGACGGGUAGCCGGCCUGAGAGGGUGUACGGCCACAUUGGGACUGAGAUACGGCCCAGACUCAUACGGGAGGCAGCAGUGGGGAAUAUUGCACAAUGGGCGCAAGCCUGAUGCAGCGACGCCGCGUGGGGGAUGACGGCCUUCGGGUUGUAAACUCCUUUCGCUAGGGACGAAGCGCAAGUGACGGUACCUGGAGAAGAAGCACCGGCUAACUACGUG
This 465-nucleotide ribosomal RNA is filed under the name uncultured bacterium. RNAcentral's name for it is "partial 16S ribosomal RNA". It matches the Rfam family "Bacterial small subunit ribosomal RNA", at positions 28 to 507 of the family's 1533-position model. The record is from RNAcentral.